AGCGGGGUGGAGCAGUAGUAGCUCGUUGGGGCUCAUAACCCAAAGGUCGCAGGUGCAAGUCCCGCCCCCGCAA
RNAcentral lists this transfer RNA (73 nucleotides) under Candidatus Kaiserbacteria bacterium RIFCSPHIGHO2_01_FULL_54_36b. Its description in RNAcentral is "tRNA-OTHER". It matches the Rfam family "tRNA". From Rfam's summary of the family: Transfer RNA (tRNA) molecules are approximately 80 nucleotides in length. Their secondary structure includes four short double-helical elements and three loops (D, anti-codon, and T loops). Lineage: Bacteria; Candidatus Kaiseribacteriota. The record is from RNAcentral.